Molecule: ribosomal RNA, 274 nt
Filed under: uncultured bacterium
Lineage: Bacteria
Description: partial 16S ribosomal RNA
Rfam family: Bacterial small subunit ribosomal RNA
Source: RNAcentral
AUACGGAGGGUGCAAGCGUUACUCGGAAUCACUGGGCGUAAAGCGCGCGCAGGCGGGCUGAUGAGUUGGAUGUGAAAGCCUACGGCUCAACCGUAGAACUGCAUCCAAAACUGUCAGUCUAGAGUCUGAGAGGGGAAGAUGGAAUUAGUUGUGUAGGGGUAAAAUCCGUAGAGAUAACUAGGAAUACCAAAAGCGAAGGCGAUCUUCUGGAACAGUACUGACGCUGAGGCGCGAAAGCGUGGGGAGCAAACAGGAUUAGAUACCCCGGUAGUCC